GGGCUCUAUGAAAGAGCAUCUGCUUGGCAUGCAGAAGGUCCUGAGUUUAAUCCCCGGCAUCUCCA
Molecule: non-coding RNA, 65 nt
Organism: Podarcis lilfordi (Lilford's wall lizard)
Lineage: Eukaryota; Metazoa; Chordata; Lepidosauria; Squamata; Lacertidae
Source: the annotation of a GenBank genome assembly